RNAcentral lists this ribosomal RNA (144 nucleotides) under uncultured bacterium. Its description in RNAcentral is "partial 16S ribosomal RNA". It matches the Rfam family "Bacterial small subunit ribosomal RNA", at positions 334 to 499 of the family's 1533-position model. The record is from RNAcentral.
UACUCCUACGGGAGGCAGCAGUGGGGAAUAUUGGACAAUGGGCGCAAGCCUGAUCCAGCAAUGCCGCGUGAGUGAUGAAGGCCUUAGGGUUGUAAAGCUCUUUCGCACGUGACGAUGAUGACGGUAACGGAGAAGAGCCCGAUC